RNAcentral lists this unclassified non-coding RNA (274 nucleotides) under Hevea brasiliensis (rubber tree). The record is from RNAcentral. Lineage: Eukaryota; Viridiplantae; Streptophyta; Magnoliopsida; Malpighiales; Euphorbiaceae.
AAAUGGUUUGGGUAAUGUAUACUCAAUAUGUGAAAUCCGAAUCCGAACCUGUCACAGGUAUCAUUUUUCAAACUCAAAUCCGAUUAUAUACUAUCUAAAUCCUUUCAAUUAGAAUUUGGUCAAGUCGAGUACCUGCAAAAUCCGAUUCGUUGCCAUCCCUAAUGUCAAAUAUAAAUAGAAGAGAGAAAGAGAGAAAAAGACAGAGAAAGGAAACAUCGGAAGCGACACCAUAGCUCCAACGACGAGCUGACUUCUGACAAGGAUGAGAAAGAGG